ACCUUUAUGGUUCGUGUAUGGACAUAAAGCUGGGUUUUUUUUUUUUUUUUGGUGGGGACAGCAGUGAAAUGAAGAGCCAUUAAGAUAGAUUUUCGUUGUUCACUGAAAAACUCUUUUGUAUCCUGCAUAUUUUAUAUUCUGUGUGACAAGUUUGAAAUACUUUCUUCUGUUCUAUCAUACAAAAUCCCAAGAAUUGACAAAAACCUUUAUGGCCGUAAAGUCCAUAAAGGUGACUGAAAGUGAAAACAUGGAACAUCCACCUCAGCAAUUUGGUUCAGCCUGUUUGAUGACAACUCCAACUACUGCAGCCUCCGCAAUAUCAUCACUGGAAGUGGACUGGACAAAGCUUCAGGCUUCCUGGAGUUGACCAAUGACUGGCUCUGUCUUGGCUGCGAACAGUCGGCCUGUUGAACCUUCCCAAGUCCUAAAAUGAGUGUGGAAAUUUCAAUUAUAUCAUAUAAUUCAGCAAAUCUGUUAAAUAAAAGCCUCCUUUGUGUUUUUGUCAUUUCACCACUGACCAUCUUUACUGUGACAACCAUGCUUCCAGGACUAAAGCGGAACAAUCUGCUGCACAGUCAUAGCUGGAGGUUGGAUUUAUGAUUAGUAUUUGAGCUUUAAACCUUUAUAAGCUAAAGGGUUCAUUAAAAAGUGUGUUCUGUACAAUAAUAUUCUGACAUGAUGGAAAACCAGAAAGGGCACCAAAAAAAUAAAGGU
Long non-coding RNA from Cyprinodon variegatus (sheepshead minnow), 714 nucleotides. RefSeq lists it as uncharacterized. NCBI's taxonomy places the organism in Eukaryota, Metazoa, Chordata, Actinopteri, Cyprinodontiformes, Cyprinodontidae. The record is from RefSeq and is a predicted model, not a curated record. The transcript has 3 exons.